UCUGGGCUUUUGCACACGCUGUUCCCUGUGCCUGAACAACCUCCACUGGGCUGAGAACAAGUCUCUGAGACCUCUCUCAGCUGUUGCUUCCUUUGGAAGAGCCACUGCUGCUGUCCCUCUCUCAGCUCCAAGACCUGCUGAGCCUCCUGUCUUUUUUAGUUCCCAUGCCCCCAGCACUUCUCCUUGGCCUCCUUUGGCCCAAUAGACAAUGUCCAUUCUCAAUGCCUUCUCACCCAGCGCUGAGCCCCACUGGGUGAAGGCAAUGCCUGUCAUGUUCACCACAAUAUCCCCUCCCCCAUCACCACGCCUGGUCCACAGUGAUGCUCAGAAAAGAUCUGUUGGUAGGCAACGUGAAAGUGCAUUCAUGUCAUCCUGCAGGUGGAAUUCUCCACGAGUUUUGAGCAGCCUCGUUUUUCCCACCACCUCCAAAUCAUGGAAGACACAGGGUAAGAGCAAAGACAAGGUGGCUGUGUCCGAUGUCCACCCUCUCGGGGCGUCCCUUCUCUUCUCUCCUCCUGGAGCAGGGAGACCAUCGGGGUGCAACCUGGCUGGGGCGGGGAGGAGGUGCAGGGUCUGGCCAGAGCGGGCCUGGCCACAGGCAAGGGACAGCGAGCUCCUGGGCCAGGACAGGUUAGAGCGGCGCAGGCCCGGGCCCGGCGUGGCGGCGGUGCGCGUGAGCGGCCAGCAGAGGGCGCCAGAGGACCACGAACGGCCCGCCGAGGAGCCGGCGCCGGCCCCGAGGCCCAGCUCCGCGCCGCGCGGACCCACCGAGCCCGCGCUCAGACGCCCCAGCUCCGCCGAGAAGCCGCUUGCACCGGCUCCUUCUUCUUCCCCAAGUGCAGGCAGAGUCCCCGGAGCCAUGGGCAGCCCUUCCCGUAGCUCCGAAGCCACUGGCGAGCCCCGAGGCAGGGAUGGCCCGCCCAGGAGGGAGGAGGACGACGUUCCUCCCGAAGAGAAGAGGCUGCGGCUCUUGCUGGAGGGGGGAAGCGCACAGCCCCAGGACUGCGAGGACGGGGAGGACGCGCCGCGGCCGGGCAGGGAGGAGACCGGCACCCAGACAGGUGGCGACGGCAGAGGAGAAGGAAAAUACAUGUACAGCCAACUUCCUUGA
Molecule: long non-coding RNA, 1111 nt
Organism: Pan troglodytes (chimpanzee)
Lineage: Eukaryota; Metazoa; Chordata; Mammalia; Primates; Hominidae
Source: Ensembl